RNAcentral lists this ribosomal RNA (662 nucleotides) under uncultured bacterium. RNAcentral describes it as "bacterial SSU rRNA". It matches the Rfam family "Bacterial small subunit ribosomal RNA", at positions 94 to 790 of the family's 1533-position model. The record is from RNAcentral.
AGUGGCGGACGGGUGAGUACAAGCAAGGAACGUACCCUAAAGUAUCGCACAGCUCGUCGAAAGACGGGGUAAUUCGGUAUGUGGAUGCAAAUCUAAAGGGAUUAACCUCCCGCUUUAGGAGCGGCCUUGUGCCUAUCAGCUAGUUGGUGGGGUAAUGGCCUACCAAGGCGACGACGGGUAGGGGGCGUGAGAGCGCGACCCCCCACAAUGGCACUGAGACACGGGCCAUACAUCUACGGAUGGCAGCAACUGGGAAUCGUUGGCAAUGGACGAAAGUCUGACCACGCGACGCCGCGUGAGGGAUGAAGUAUUUCGGUAUGUAAACCUCUUUUGCCAAGUCUUUGAGGCUUGGCGAAUAAGCACCUACAAACUACGUGCCAGCAGUCGCGGUAAUACGUAGGGUGCAAGCGUUAUCCGGAUUCACUGGGCGUAAAGAGUCGUGUAGGUGGUUUGCCGCAUCGCACUUGAAAGCCCGAGGCUCAACCUCGGCGUUGGGUGCGAGAUGGGUAGACUUGGAGAGAGGCAGAGGAAAGGGGAACUGAUGGUGAAGCAGUGAAAUGCGUUGAUAUCAUCAGGAACACCAAAGGCGAAGGCACCUUUCUGGGCCUCUUCUGACACUGAGACACGAAAGCUAGGGGAGCGAAGCAGAUUAGAGACCUGCG